UGGGGAAUUUUGGACAAUGGGCGCAAGCCUGAUCCAGCCAUGCCGCGUGCGGGAAGAAGGCCUUCGGGUUGUAAACCGCUUUUGUCAGGGAAGAAACGGUCUGGGUUAAUACCUUGGGCUAAUGACGGUACCUGAAGAAUAAGCACCGGCUAACUACGUGCCAGCAGCCGCGGUAAUACGUAGGGUGCAAGCGUUAAUCGGAAUUACUGGGCGUAAAGCGUGCGCAGGCGGCCAUGCAAGACAGAUGUGAAAUCCCCGGGCUCAACCUGGGAACUGCAUUUGUGACUGCAUGGCUCGAGUACGGCAGAGGGGGAUGGAAUUCCGCGUGUAGCAGUGAAAUGCGUAGAUAUGCGGAGGAACACCGAUGGCGAAGGCAAUCCCCUGGGCCUGUACUGACGCUCAUGCACGAAAGCGUGGGGAGCAAACAGGAUUAGAUACCCUGGUAGUCCACGCCCUAAACGAUGUCAACUGGUUGUUGGGAGGGUUUCUUCUCAGUAACGUAGCUAACG
RNAcentral lists this ribosomal RNA (509 nucleotides) under uncultured bacterium. RNAcentral's name for it is "bacterial SSU rRNA". It matches the Rfam family "Bacterial small subunit ribosomal RNA", at positions 355 to 857 of the family's 1533-position model. The record is from RNAcentral.